UACGUAGGGUGCGAGCGUUGUCCGGAAUUACUGGGCGUAAAGAGCUCGUAGGCGGUUUGUCACGUCGUCUGUGAAAUCCUCCAGCUUAACUGGGGGCGUGCAGGCGAUACGGGCAGACUUGAGUACUACAGGGGAGGACUGGAAUUCCUGGUGUAGCGGUGAAAUGCGCAGAUAUCAGGAGGAACACCGGUGGCGAAGGCGGGUCUCUGGGCCACUACUGACGCUGAGAAGCGAAAGCAUGGGGAGCGAACAGGAUUAGAUACCCGU
Molecule: ribosomal RNA, 267 nt
Filed under: uncultured prokaryote
Description: partial 16S ribosomal RNA
Rfam family: Bacterial small subunit ribosomal RNA
Source: RNAcentral